RNAcentral lists this ribosomal RNA (483 nucleotides) under uncultured bacterium. Its description in RNAcentral is "partial 16S ribosomal RNA". It matches the Rfam family "Bacterial small subunit ribosomal RNA", at positions 30 to 507 of the family's 1533-position model. The record is from RNAcentral.
UUGAACGCUGGCGGCAGGCCUAACACAUGCAAGUCGAGCGGAUGAAGGGAGCUUGCUCCUGGAUUCAGCGGCGGACGGGUGAGUAAUGCCUAGGAAUCUGCCUGGUAGUGGGGGAUAACGUCCGGAAACGGGCGCUAAUACCGCAUACGUCCUGAGGGAGAAAGUGGGGGAUCUUCGGACCUCACGCUAUCAGAUGAGCCUAGGUCGGAUUAGCUAGUUGGUGGGGUAAAGGCCUACCAAGGCGACGAUCCGUAACUGGUCUGAGAGGAUGAUCAGUCACACUGGAACUGAGACACGGUCCAGACUCCUACGGGAGGCAGCAGUGGGGAAUAUUGGACAAUGGGCGAAAGCCUGAUCCAGCCAUGCCGCGUGUGUGAUGAAGGUCUUCGGAUUGUAAAGCACUUUAAGUUGGGAGGAAGGGCAGUAAGUUAAUACCUUGCUGUUUUGACGUUACCAACAGAAUAAGCACCGGCUAACUUCGUG